CCGCCCCCUUGGAGAGAGAGGGAAAAAAGAGGGAGGGGUGCCGACCCUCUCACUCCGACCGCUCUCGCCCUGCAGCAGAUCCUCCAAUGUGAUGCUAUAUACAACUUCCAGUAGAGGUUGAGCAGAGUCAUGCCAGGGGACACAGAAAAUUUCUCUCAGGAAGAAGAGGACCUGGAUGACCUGUUGAGUUGUCCGAACAGCUGAAUGGCAUCUUAGGGGCCAGCCUGAGCUUCUAGUUUGCUGGAGAGGGUCCAUCGUGCCAUGGACUCUGGGUGUGAGAGCAGAUUCUCUGCAUUGUUGACAAGAGAUUACACAAACACUUUUACUGUUACACAACAGUCCUUUGGCUGCUCUCCUGAAGUGCCAGCAGGGGAGUCGCAACACAACAUCAGUUCCAGAUAGCCCAAGAGACAGAACUUAUUUUCUCCUUUGUAGGAGAACAACAAAAAAACACUGCUUUUCAAUGUUGGUCACCUGGCACUGGUUAAAUUGAUGUUAAUGCAUCUUUAUUGAUAAUUAUUCACUCUUCUCAUAAUACAGCCAAUGUGAUGUUACUAGGACAUUGUGGAAUCUAAACAUGGCAGGAAAACCCAACCACCAGACACUAAAUAGAACUCUGUGAAAAUAUUUAAUGCAAGGUUAAAAGUAAAUGUUUUGGUGGACUAAGCUUAAAACUUGUGACCUUAGUAACAACCAAUAAAGGAGAUGCUAACA
This is a long non-coding RNA of Anolis sagrei ordinatus, 714 nucleotides long. RefSeq lists it as uncharacterized. The record is from RefSeq and is a predicted model, not a curated record. NCBI's taxonomy places the organism in Eukaryota, Metazoa, Chordata, Lepidosauria, Squamata, Anolidae.